Molecule: ribosomal RNA, 400 nt
Filed under: Roseibium hamelinense
Lineage: Bacteria; Pseudomonadati; Pseudomonadota; Alphaproteobacteria; Hyphomicrobiales; Stappiaceae
Description: bacterial SSU rRNA
Rfam family: Bacterial small subunit ribosomal RNA
Source: RNAcentral
GCGCAGCUGAUCAGCCAUGCCGCGUGAGUGAUGAAGGCCCUAGGGUUGUAAAGCUCUUUCAGCGAGGAGGAUAAUGACGUUACUCGCAGAAGAAGCCCCGGCUAACUUCGUGCCAGCAGCCGCGGUAAUACGAAGGGGGCUAGCGUUGUUCGGAAUCACUGGGCGUAAAGCGCACGUAGGCGGACUGAUCAGUCAGGGGUGAAAUCCCGGGGCUCAACCCCGGAACUGCCUUUGAUACUGUCAGUCUUGAGUCCGAGAGAGGUGAGUGGAACUCCGAGUGUAGAGGUGAAAUUCGUAGAUAUUCGGAAGAACACCAGUGGCGAAGGCGGCUCACUGGCUCGGUACUGACGCUGAGGUGCGAAAGCGUGGGGAGCAAACAGGAUUAGAUACCCGGUAGUCA